RNAcentral lists this transfer RNA (73 nucleotides) under Sinorhizobium phage phiM12. It matches the Rfam family "tRNA". From Rfam's summary of the family: Transfer RNA (tRNA) molecules are approximately 80 nucleotides in length. Their secondary structure includes four short double-helical elements and three loops (D, anti-codon, and T loops). Lineage: Duplodnaviria; Heunggongvirae; Uroviricota; Caudoviricetes. The record is from Rfam by way of RNAcentral. RNAcentral also lists the same sequence under 1 other name.
UUGCCCUUAGUUCAGUUGGUAGAACGUCGAAUUUUGGUUUCGAAGGUCCGUGGUUCGAAUCCACGAGGGUAAG